AACGCGAAGAACCUUACCAGCCUUUGACAUGUCCGGUAUGAAUUCCAGAGAUGGAUUUCUUCAGUUCGGCUGGCCGGAACACAGGUGCUGCAUGGCUGUCGUCAGCUCGUGUCGUGAGAUGUUGGGUUAAGUCCCGCAACGAGCGCAACCCACGCCCUUAGUUGCCAUCAUUAAGUUGGGCACUCUAGGGGGACUGCCGGUGAUAAGCCGAGAGGAAGGUGUGGAUGACGUCAAGUCCUCAUGGCCCUUACGGGCUGGGCUACACACGUGCUACAAUGGCGGUGACAAUGGGACGCGGAGGGGUGACCCCGAGCAAAUCUCAAAAAGCCGUCUCAGUUCGGAUUGUACUCUGCAACUCGAGUGCAUGAAGGUGGAAUCGCUAGUAAUCGUAGAUCAGAACGCUACGGUGAAUACGUUCCCGGGCCUUGUACACACCGCGCAUA
Molecule: ribosomal RNA, 443 nt
Filed under: uncultured bacterium
Lineage: Bacteria
Description: bacterial SSU rRNA
Rfam family: Bacterial small subunit ribosomal RNA
Source: RNAcentral